GCAGGGAAUUUUGCGCAAUGGGCGAAAGCCUGACGCAGCGACGCCGCGUGGGGGAAGAAGGCCUUAGGGUUGUAAACCCCUUUUCUGGGGGAAGAGAGAGGACGGUACCCCAGGAAUAAGCCCCGGCUAACUACGUGCCAGCAGCCGCGGUAAUACGUAGGGGGCGAGCGUUGUCCGGAAUUACUGGGCGUAAAGGGCGCGUAGGCGGCCCAGGAAGUCUCCGGUGAAAUCUCCCGGCUCAACUGGGAGGGGUCCGGGGAAACUCCUGGGCUUGAGGGCAGCAGAGGAGGGUGGAAUUCCCGGUGUAGUGGUGAAAUGCGUAGAUAUCGGGAGGAACACCAGUGGCGAAGGCGGCCCUCUGGGCUGUACCUGACGCUGAGGCGCGAAAGCGUGGGGAGCGAACCGG
RNAcentral lists this ribosomal RNA (406 nucleotides) under uncultured bacterium. RNAcentral's name for it is "bacterial SSU rRNA". It matches the Rfam family "Bacterial small subunit ribosomal RNA", at positions 354 to 776 of the family's 1533-position model. The record is from RNAcentral.